This 3065-nucleotide long non-coding RNA is filed under the name Chlamydomonas reinhardtii. RNAcentral describes it as "long non-coding RNA (CREI_LNC000042)". The record is from RNAcentral. Lineage: Eukaryota; Viridiplantae; Chlorophyta; Chlorophyceae; Chlamydomonadales; Chlamydomonadaceae.
AAGCAGCCGCAGCAGGAGUAGCCGAAACUGUCGCAGUCACGCCCGCCUUCUUCGGCGCGUGCAAGCCCUCCAGCACCACCUUCACCUUGCCGUACACAUCGUCCGGAGCCGCCACAGCGCUGAUCACGUGGCACUUGCCCUGCGUAAGGUAGUGGUCCUUCACAGGCAGCGACUGAUCCAGGAAGGUGCGGAAGCGCUUGCGAAUGGUGUCGGCGUUGUCGUCGCUGCGGCCGCUGGUCUCCCCGCGCUUCAGCAGGCGCUUCUCCAUCUCCUCCUCCGGGCAGUCGAAGAACAGCACCGUCUUGCACGGCAUGAUGCUGCUCUCAAACUGCGCCGCCUGGUCCAGCGCGCGCGGAAAGCCGUCGAUGAGGAAGAACUUGCCGCCGCUGGCUAUCAUGUCCCGCUUCAGCAGGUUAAGCGUGACAGCCACCGGCACGAGCUUGCCCUCCUUCAUCAGCGCCUCGCACUUCUGGCCGACCUCGCUGCCGCUCUUCACCUCAGCGCGCAGCAGGUCGCCGGCGCUGAGGUGCACGCACUCGUAGUCGGCCUUAAUCUUGUCGCAUUGCGUCCCCUUGCCGCUGCCGGGGCCGCCGAGCACGAACACGAUCUGGGCGUCGGCAGGCAGGUUGCCGGGCACAGGUGGCAGCGCGAUGUCCUGCAUAAAAGCAACCAAGGGAACAAACGUGCAAUCAUAAGGUGUUGGCUGUGGCGCCGACCAUGACCCAGUGCCCUUGUACACAAAGCAAUGGGGCGUGCCGUACGCGCCGCACACACAGAACAGCGGUUUGGUGGCUGGAAACAUAAGAUGCGGCACGGUAUCCCUAUCUGCAGGUCGGCUUCUCAAGUGUUCAACUUAGGCAAGACGCACCUCCGAAGCAGCCGGGGCCGCUGCAAGUGCCGUCGCCGCUGCGCUCGCCUUCUUCGGCGCGUGCAAGCCCUCCAGCACCACCUUCACCUUGCCGUACACAUCGUCCGGAGCCGCCACAGCGCUGAUCACGUGGCACUUGCCCUGCGUAAGGUAGUGGUCCUUCACGGGCAGCGACUGAUCCAGGAAGGUGUGGAAGCGCUUGCGAAUGGUGUCGGCGUUGUCGUCGCUGCGGCCGCUGGUCUCCCCGCGCUUCAGCAGGCGCUUCUCCAUCUCCUCCUCCGGGCAGUCAAAGAACAGCACCGUCUUGCACGGCAUGAUGCUGCUCUCAAACUGCUCCGCCUGGUCCAGCGCGCGUGGAAAGCCGUCGAUGAGGAAGAACUUGCCGCCGCUGGCUAUCAUGUCCCGCUUCAGCAGGUUGAGCGUGACAGCCACCGGCACGAGCUUGCCCUCCUUCAUCAGCGCCUCGCACUUCUGGCCAACCUCGCUGCCGCUCUUCACCUCAGCGCGCAGCAGGUCGCCGGCGCUGAGGUGCACGCACUCAUACUCCUCCUUGAUCUGAUCGCAUUGCGUGCCCUUGCCGCUGCCGGGGCCGCCGAGCACGAACACGAUCUGGGCGUCGGCAGGCAGGCUGCCGGGCACGGGCGGCAGCGCAAACUCCUGCAUAGGGACGAAAAUGCAAUGGAAAUCAGCAAGCCGAGAUUAAUAAUCAGUGGAAACUUACGCAUCAGUACACUUGCACUUCAGUACGCAUCCUACUACCGGGAGGAUACGGUAAGGCAGGCAGGCAGAGGCCAUCGAUUUCACGCUUGCCCCAGCUUUCCGUACGAUGUACCGUAUGCUAGGUUGCUUGACCGGAACCCGUGCAAGACGCACACGGAUAUACCACCGGUGAACAGCCAUGACCGCUCACCUCCAAAGCAGCCGCAGCAGGAGUAGCCGAAACUGUCGCAGUCACGCCCGCCUUCUUCGGCGCGUGCAAGCCCUCCAGCACCACCUUCACCUUGCCGUACACAUCGUCCGGAGCCGCCACAGCGCUGAUCACGUGGCACUUGCCCUGCGUAAGGUAGUGGUCCUUCACAGGCAGCGACUGAUCCAGGAAGGUGCGGAAGCGCUUGCGAAUGGUGUCGGCGUUGUCGUCGCUGCGGCCGCUGGUCUCCCCGCGCUUCAGCAGGCGCUUCUCCAUCUCCUCCUCCGGGCAGUCGAAGAACAGCACCGUCUUGCACGGCAUGAUGCUGCUCUCAAACUGCGCCGCCUGGUCCAGCGCGCGCGGAAAGCCGUCGAUGAGGAAGAACUUGCCGCCGCUGGCUAUCAUGUCCCGCUUCAGCAGGUUAAGCGUGACAGCCACCGGCACGAGCUUGCCCUCCUUCAUCAGCGCCUCGCACUUCUGGCCGACCUCGCUGCCGCUCUUCACCUCAGCGCGCAGCAGGUCGCCGGCGCUGAGGUGCACGCACUCGUAGUCGGCCUUAAUCUUGUCGCAUUGCGUCCCCUUGCCGCUGCCGGGGCCGCCGAGCACGAACACGAUCUGGGCGUCGGCAGGCAGGUUGCCGGGCACAGGUGGCAGCGCGAUGUCCUGCAUAAAAGCAACCAAGGGAACAAACGUGCAAUCAUAAGGUGUUGGCUGUGGCGCCGACCAUGACCCAGUGCCCUUGUACACAAAGCAAUGGGGCGUGCCGUACGCGCCGCACACACAGAACAGCGGUUUGGUGGCUGGAAACAUAAGAUGCGGCACGGUAUCCCUAUCUGCAGGUCGGCUUCUCAAGUGUUCAACUUAGGCAAGACGCACCUCCGAAGCAGCCGGGGCCGCUGCAAGUGCCGUCGCCGCUGCGCUCGCCUUCUUCGGCGCGUGCAAGCCCUCCAGCACCACCUUCACCUUGCCGUACACAUCGUCCGGAGCCGCCACAGCGCUGAUCACGUGGCACUUGCCCUGCGUAAGGUAGUGGUCCUUCACGGGCAGCGACUGAUCCAGGAAGGUGUGGAAGCGCUUGCGAAUGGUGUCGGCGUUGUCGUCGCUGCGGCCGCUGGUCUCCCCGCGCUUCAGCAGGCGCUUCUCCAUCUCCUCCUCCGGGCAGUCAAAGAACAGCACCGUCUUGCACGGCAUGAUGCUGUUCUCAAACUGCGCCGCCUGGUCCAGCGCGCGCGGAAAGCCGUCGAUGAGGAAGAACUUGCCGCCGCUGGCUAUCAUGUCCCGCUUCAGCAG